GACAGAGGUGCCAAGCGUUAGGCGGAAUCACUGGGCUUAAAGCGUGUGUAGGCGGGCGAUCAAGUACCUUGUGAAAUCCCACGGCUCAACCGUGGAACUGCUGGGUAUACGUGGUUGUCUUGAGCCAGCUAGGGGACGAGCGGAACAGACGGUGGAGCGGUGAAAUGCGUAGAUAUCGUCUGGAACGCCGAAGGUGAAAACAGCUCGCUGGGGCUGCGCUGACGCUAAGACACGAAAGCCAGGGGAGCGAACGGG
Molecule: ribosomal RNA, 255 nt
Filed under: uncultured bacterium
Lineage: Bacteria
Description: partial 16S ribosomal RNA
Rfam family: Bacterial small subunit ribosomal RNA
Source: RNAcentral